UAUUUAUUUUUAAAAUUACUAAAAUAAUCCAACUAACUUAUAAGUAUAGGGCGCAUAAACAUUAAAAUGAAAAGUUGGUCUUACCAAAAUAUUAUUUUUGUUUAGAGCUUAUAAACUCAAACAAAUGUUAUAAACAAACAGUUAAACUUAUGUUUAGGACUUAUAAGUUGGUCACUAGCUUAGAAGCCAAAACAAAUAAUUUAGAGAAAAUAACAUGCAAGAUGAAACCACAUUUCCACUAGGCUAAUAGACAAUAAUUCAGUGAUUGAGGUCGUAAUGAAACUCAAUGAUAGAGUCUUUAUGUCGCAGUAUGGAGCAUGAAUUUAAAUCCCACCACCAAGGCCAAGCACACAAAUAUGCAAUUAUUUGCUCGAGUAGUCUCAUAUUGCGUAUGAUCAAGAGUUUCAUUCAAAUGCUAUGAACAUUCAUAUUCUUAUUUUAUAAUGACAAUACAGAUAAUGUCAUAAGGCAAGCCACAUUAUUUAUAAUUUUUCACAUCAAAAUAGUAAAAAACUCGCUUAAAAAAAAUAUUCAAAUAUACUAUAAUUCUAUAAAGAUAAGGAUGAACAGACCAACUUACCAUGGGCAAUAAGUCUAACACUCUCAUCCAAAUCCUCUUUGGACCCAAAAACCCGAGACACCAGACCCAACUCCUUGGCCUGUUGACCCGAGAAUCUCCGACCCGUUAAAGCCAAUUCCAUAGCGUUACCAUACCCGACAAUACUGGGCAGUCUCUGGAGCGUCCCGAGAUCUGCCGUUAUCCCCAAAUCCACCUCUUUAACAGAAAAAAAUGAAUCUUGUGAACAAAACCUAAUAUCACAGGCAGUCACAAUAUCAACACCCCCACCAAUACACGCUCCGUGGAUGCUAGCUAUAACUGGUUUCCUACACCGUUCGAUCGCAGUUAUCGCAUCCUGUAAGAACUUGAUCUCUCGUCGGAGUUUCUCAUUAGCACGGCCUCUGUCGCCGGAUGAAGAAUAGUCGGUGAUUAUGUUUAGUGUUUUGAGGUCGAUGCCGGAGCAGAAGUGAUCGCCGGCGCCACAGAGGACGAUGACGCUGGCUUCGGGGUUCUGAUCGAGAGAAGAGAGGGCGUUGGGGAAUUCGGUGAAGAAGUCACGGGAGAGGGCGUUGCGAUGAGAUGGACGAUUAAGGUAUAAAUGGAAGACUCGUGAAUUUGGGGUUUUUUGUACGAUCUGUAGGGUUUUGUAUUGCUCCAUUGAGGGUUUUGGGAGUGAGAAAGUAGGCAAGAAAAUGAGAAAAACUGAAGGAAAAUCGAAGAUGAUAAACUAACAAACGUGAUUUUUC
This 1305-nucleotide unclassified non-coding RNA is filed under the name Hevea brasiliensis (rubber tree). The record is from RNAcentral. Lineage: Eukaryota; Viridiplantae; Streptophyta; Magnoliopsida; Malpighiales; Euphorbiaceae.